This 82-nucleotide transfer RNA is filed under the name Cylindrobasidium torrendii FP15055 ss-10. It matches the Rfam family "tRNA". From Rfam's summary of the family: Transfer RNA (tRNA) molecules are approximately 80 nucleotides in length. Their secondary structure includes four short double-helical elements and three loops (D, anti-codon, and T loops). The record is from Rfam by way of RNAcentral. Lineage: Eukaryota; Fungi; Basidiomycota; Agaricomycetes; Agaricales; Physalacriaceae.
UCCCUCUUAGCUCAGUGGUAGAGCGCGUCACUAGUAAUAAGAAUACAUGACGAGGUCAGUCGUUCAAGUCGGCUAGAGGGAA